Molecule: ribosomal RNA, 257 nt
Filed under: Salmonella enterica subsp. enterica serovar Agona
Lineage: Bacteria; Pseudomonadati; Pseudomonadota; Gammaproteobacteria; Enterobacterales; Enterobacteriaceae
Description: partial 16S ribosomal RNA
Rfam family: Bacterial small subunit ribosomal RNA
Source: RNAcentral
AAAUUGAAGAGUUUGAUCAUGGCUCAGAUUGAACGCUGGCGGCAGGCCUAACACAUGCAAGUCGAACGGUAGCACAGAGAGCUUGCUCUCGGGUGACGAGUGGCGGACGGGUGAGUAAUGUCUGGGAAACUGCCUGAUGGAGGGGGAUAACUACUGGAAACGGUGGCUAAUACCGCAUAACGUCGCAAGACCAAAGAGGGGGACCUUCGGGCCUCUUGCCAUCAGAUGUGCCCAGAUGGGAUUAGCUGGUUGGUGAG